This 175-nucleotide ribosomal RNA is filed under the name uncultured low G+C Gram-positive bacterium. Its description in RNAcentral is "partial 16S ribosomal RNA". It matches the Rfam family "Bacterial small subunit ribosomal RNA", at positions 338 to 524 of the family's 1533-position model. Lineage: Bacteria; Bacillati; Bacillota. The record is from RNAcentral.
CCUACGGGAGGCAGCAGUGGGGAAUUUUACGCAAUGGGGGAAACCCUGACGUAGCGACACCGCGUGAGCGAAGAAGCCCUUUGGGGUGUACAAGCUCUCGUCAGCUGGAACGAAAACAAUGACGGUACCAGCAGAGGAAGCAUCGCGCUAACUACGUGCCAGCAGCCGCGGUAAU